Molecule: ribosomal RNA, 646 nt
Filed under: uncultured bacterium
Lineage: Bacteria
Description: bacterial SSU rRNA
Rfam family: Bacterial small subunit ribosomal RNA
Source: RNAcentral
UGCAGUCGAGCGAGGGAGCCUAACGCUCCUUUGUGGGGUACGGCUUCCCAGCGGCAAACGGGUGAGUAACACGUGGGUGACCUGCCCCGAAGAGGGGGAUAACCCUGGGAAACUGGGGCUAAUACCCCAUGUGCUUCGUGGGGUUAAAGGACCACGAAUUAAAGGGUGUGGGUGCCGAAAGGCACCACGCCGCUUCUGGAGGGGCCCGCGGCCCAUCACGUAGUUGAUGAGGUAAUGGCCUACCAAGACUAUGACCGGUAGCCGGCCUAAUAGGAUGUCCGGCCAAAUCGGGACUGAGACACGGCCCCGACUCCUACGGGAGGCAGCAGUGGGGAAUCUUGGGCAAUGGGCGAAAGCCUGACCCACCGACGCCGCGUGGGGGAAUUAAUCCCUGCGAGGAGUAAACCCCUUUUCGGGGGGAAGAGCAAGGACGGUACCCCCGGAAUAAGGGCCGGCUAACUACGUGCCAGCAGCCGCGGUAAAACGUAGGGCCCGAGCGUUACCCGGAAUCACUGGGCGUAAAGCGCACGCAGGCGGCCUGGUAAGUCGGGCGUGAAAUCUCCCAGCCCAACUGGGAGGGGCCGUCCGAUACUGCUGGGCUUGAGGGCGGGAGAGGGAGGUGGAAUUUCCCGUGUAGCGGUGAAAU